CAAGCCAGGAGACAAGACUGCCUCUUUCUGUGAUGUAUGUAUGCUGCUUGUUGGGUGGGCAGUGGUUUGUGGGAUGUUUUCAACAUAUAUAGAAACAUAAUAAAAGAUUAACCAACUGCCUUCAGACAUCCUGUAAAGGCUGUAUAUUUACCUGUACUUCGCUCCGUGGUUCAGGGGUCACAUAACUCCAUACCCUCCAACAUUUUUCUGAUGAAAAUAGGGACAUCCUAAGGAAAAGUGAAGGGACACGGGUGGUGCUGUGGGUUAAACCACAGAGCCUAGGACUUGCUGAUCAGAAGGUCGGUGGUUCGAAUCCCCGCGACGGAGUGAGCUCCCAUUGCUCAGUCCCUGCUCCUGCCAACCUAGCAGUUCAAAAGCACACCAAAAAGUGCAAGUAGAUAAAUAGGCGGGAAGGUAAACGGCGGGAAGGUAAACGGCGUUUCCGUGCGCUGCUCUGCUUCGCCAGCAGCAGCUUAGUCAUGCUGGCCACAUGACCCGGAAGCUGUACGCCGGCUCCCUCGGCCAAUAAAGCGAGAUGAGCGCCGCAACCCCAAAUUUGUCUGUGACUAGACCUAAUGGUCAGGGGUCCCUAUACCUUUACGGAAAAGUGGGGUGUUCUGGGGUCAAACCAGGAACCGAGACGGUUUCUGUAAAUCCAGGACAGUCCCUGGAAAAGAGGGGCACUUGGUGAGUCUAUGCCCCAGGAAGAAGCUGUGCAGAGACGGAAGGAGGCUCUGCCACUUCCUGGGGGACUCCAGCUGAGGUCCCAAGGCCCAGGCGGCCGAGGAUGGAGAACCAGCCUCUCCUGGAAGAAGGCUAGAAGGGCCAGGGAGCCCAGAGGUCCUCCUGGAAAAUCGGGGGCUGCUAAGGUGUGCCCCUUCAGCCGUUCCAUUAUUGUAUUGUAAGGAACAGUAGCGACGUCUUCAGGCGCAAGGAGAGCCCGGGCGAUUUCAAACGUCUUCUCUCCGCAGACGCUGAAGAAUAUCGCCCUCUUCUUGGCGUCUUCGUUGGUGACCCCUUUGGCUUCUAGGAGGAAGGUGAAACGGGAGGCAUACGCUUCCCAGUCUCCGGAUGCUGGGUUGAACGGCGAGAAGCUGCUGUCGGUUGCCAUUCUGAGUUCCUUGGGUCCCAAAGCUGAAGCCUGGAUACACGGUGCAAGGCAGCAGUGCGGCAGGUGGCGGUGUUGCGGUGCUGUGUGUGGCGGUCAGCUCAGCGUUAUCCCACCUUCGUCGCCUAUGAAAUAUACUCGGAGUCGAGAGUGGAUUUCAUGCUCUUUAUUCAGCUCAUAGUGGUGAGGAGGAAUGGAAGUUCCCCCAGAAUGUCUGCUUUAUAUACAUAAUUUACACAAUGGGCCCCACGUGAUUGGCUAAUUCCGGAAUUCUCCUGUAGGCCAAUCAGGUUGCAGAUUCCCUUCCACCUGGAGCUGGAUUGGGUGACUCUCGUGGACCAAUCAGACUGCUGCAUUCUGGAUCCUAUUGUUCUAGGACCAAUCAGACUGCUGCAUUUUGGAUCCUAUUCAACUCAGUACAGUGGUACCUUGGGUUACAUACGCUUCAGGUUACAGACUCCUCUAACCCAGAAAUAGUACCUCGGGUUAAGAACUUUGUUUCAGGAUGAGAACGGAAACGUGCUCCAGCGGCGCAGCGGCAGCGGGUGGCCCCCGUUAGAUAAAGUGGUGCUUCAGGUUAAGAACAGUUUCAGGUUAAGAACGGACCUCCGGAACGAAUUAAGUACUGAACCCGAGGUACCACUGUACAUAGCACCUUCCAAAGAUGGAUUGGUUCCCUUUCGGGGGCACAGAGUCCCCUGCUCCCUUUGGGGUGCCUUUGGUCACAUUCUUGAAGGCAAAAAAAAUAAAAUGUAAAAGCUUUUCCCCCUCACCCUCACCUACUUGUCUUGAGCAGCCUACCUGGCUAGGCACCUUGCAAGUUGAGCCCUCCCUCCCUAGCUGGCUGAUUGACACUCCAGGCUAGCCAAUAGAGCUCAUCAUCUUCUGGGGUGGGCGGAGCUGCUGCCAAUGGCUCCCACAGAAGCAGCCAGACCUUUACUGGAGCAGCAGCCUCCGCUUGCAAAGCUCUGUCUCCCUCGGCCUCUUGCUGGGGGUCUAAGGGGUCUCUGGGCUCCUUUCCACCUCUAGAAUGGAGGGUGCAAAGGAGGCCUUCGGACCUGGAGGGUUCUGUUGCUGAAAUGGCCGGCAUGAAGGGUGGCAUACAAAUUUAAUCAAUCAUCACCUCCACCUGCCAUUCCCUGGGCAUUAAAGCACCAUAAACAUCCCAUAUUGGAACUCUCAGGGGGAUGAGGGGUUAUGCAAACCCCGUUAGGAUGUUGGAGGCAAAGCUCCAUGAGGAAGCAGAAUUUCUUCUUAUCUCUUCUUCCUUCCUUCCUUCCUUCCUUCCUUCCUUCCUUCCUUCCUUCUAUUUUGGACUGGUUUCUAAAUUUACCAUCCUUCUGGCAGGC
RNAcentral lists this long non-coding RNA (2457 nucleotides) under Podarcis lilfordi (Lilford's wall lizard). Lineage: Eukaryota; Metazoa; Chordata; Lepidosauria; Squamata; Lacertidae. The record is from RNAcentral.